Mauremys reevesii (Reeves's turtle) is the source of this 613-nucleotide long non-coding RNA. RefSeq lists it as uncharacterized. The record is from RefSeq and is a predicted model, not a curated record. The transcript has 3 exons. Lineage: Eukaryota; Metazoa; Chordata; Testudines; Geoemydidae.
GUACAACACUGAAUAGUAGCAGGUGGACAGAGGCCCCUUCCUGAGUCAGCCUUUUAUACAGUUUGCUUUCUUCUCUGGGUUCACCAGUGGGUGAGAUAAUUACUUCAUUAGCUCAUCAGGCUCCCUGCAGGGUCAUUUAAAAAGCAGCAGCAUUCCUAAACAGAAGUUUUGGGGAGCAGAAACAUGGCUGAUGCCAUACCCAAAAUAAGUGAAGGACACAGGAUGUGUGUGGAAAAAGUAGCUACCCUUACUCAUGAGUAAUACCUUACUUCUCAAGUAAUCAACAGAACUAAGAGUAAGCUACUGAAUGAGUUGUACAUGUCCUGGAACUGCAUGAAUGUCCUUUUCAAGCAUAGGCCAACAAAAAUAUACCAACUGGUUUGGAAAAAAUAAGAAUAAACCCAAGUUCAAAUUGACCAGAAACCCAGCCUUUUGUAAAGUCUGAAAAUUUUUGGAUCCAUAUUCCACCCUCAACCGCUACAUUUAAUUUUCAUUUGUUUCUACAUUUCCUUGCACAUGCCUAAAAAGCUUCCUAAAAUAUCGCCACGCUAAUGUUUCCUGCUUAGUCAGUUAGUAGUGGGGUUUUGGGGGAUGUGUGGUUUUUUGCACUGAA